UUAGAGUUUGAUCCUGGCUCAGGAUGACCUUUAGCGAUAGGCCUAACACAUGCAAGUCGAGGGGUAACAGGGGAGCUUGCUCCCGCUGACGACCGGCGGAUGGGUGAGUAACACGUAUGCAACCUACCUUUCACACGGGCAUAACCCGGAGAAAUCCGGACUAAUUUCCGAUAAUAUUUAUGAAUCACCUGGUUUAUAAAUUAAAGAUUCAUCGGUGAAAGAUGGGCAUGCGUAUGAUUAGCUAGUUGGUGUGGUAAUGGCACACCAAGGCAACGAUCAUUAGGGGUUCUGAGAGGAAGGUCCCCCACACUGGUACUGAGACACGGACCAGACUCCUACGGGAGGCAGCAGUGAGGAAUAUUGGUCAAUGGACGCAAGUCUGAACCAGCCAUGUCGCGUGCAGGAUGACUGCCCUAUGGGUUGUAAACUGCUUUUAUAUUGGAAGAAUUGCGCUUACGAGUUAAGCGUUUGACUGGUACAUUAUGAAUAAGGAUCGGCUAACUCCGUGCCAGCAGCCGCGGUAAUACGGAGGAUCCGAGCGUUAUCCGGAUUUAUUGGGUUUAAAGGGUGCGUAGGCGGAAAUGUAAGUCAGUGGUGAAAUCCUGCAGCUUAACUGUAGAAUAGCCGUUGAAACUGUGUUUCUUGAGUACAUUUGAGGUAGGCGGAAUGUGGUGUGUAGCGGUGAAAUGCAUAGAUAUACCACAGAACUCCGAUUGCGAAGGCAGCUUACUAAACUGUCUCUGACGCUGAUGCUCGAAAGCGUGGGUAUCAAACAGGAUUAGAUACCCUGGUAGUCCACGCUGUAAACGAUGAUUACUGGUUGUUUGCGAUACACUGCAAGUGACUGAGCGAAAGCAUUAAGUAAUCCACCUGGGGAGUACGUCGGCAACGAUGAAACUCAAAGGAAUUGACGGGGGCCCGCACAAGCGGAGGAACAUGUGGUUUAAUUCGAUGAUACGCGAGGAACCUUACCUGGGUUUAAAUGGGGAGUGACAGGCUUGGAAACAGGCUCUUCUUCGGACACUCUUCAAGGUGCUGCAUGGUUGUCGUCAGCUCGUGCCGUGAGGUGUCGGGUUAAGUCCCAUAACGAGCGCAACCCCUAUCGAUAGUUACCAGCACGUUACGGUGGGGACUCUAUCGAGACUGCCGGUGUAAACCGUGAGGAGGGUGGGGAUGACGUCAAAUCAGCACGGCCCUUACAUCCAGGGCUACACACGUGUUACAAUGGCCGGUACAAAGGGCAGCUACACAGCGAUGUGAUGCUAAUCUCCAAAUCCGGUCUCAGUUCGGAUCGAAGUCUGCAACCCGACUUCGUGAAGCUGGACUCGCUAGUAAUCGCGCAUCAGCCAUGGCGCGGUGAAUACGUUCCCGGGCCUUGUACACACCGCCCGUCA
This 1394-nucleotide ribosomal RNA is filed under the name uncultured bacterium. RNAcentral's name for it is "16S ribosomal RNA". It matches the Rfam family "Bacterial small subunit ribosomal RNA". The record is from RNAcentral.